Molecule: long non-coding RNA, 1207 nt
Filed under: Ursus thibetanus thibetanus
Lineage: Eukaryota; Metazoa; Chordata; Mammalia; Carnivora; Ursidae
Description: lncRNA (ENSUTTG00000013770.1)
Source: RNAcentral
CAGAGCAUUCCUGACACCUUGGUCAUCUCUCCGUGUAUGUUUUAGAGUAAGCAAUAGUCAGGUUCUUGUAUGCAAAGGAUGAGAGCCUCUGGAAGGUGAGAAGGGGCCUGGAAAUUGCAUAUUCCUCCCCUCUUGAAAGGACAGGAAAAAUCAGACCAUAUCUGCAUCCCUCAGAUCCUCAGCUGCCUUUGCACAACAACUAAAUCUCUGAAAGAAGAUAGCCAUGGGCCAAAUUUUCAAGAUUGAUACUGUGUCUGCCAUCAGAUUCCAGAGAGUCUACUUAACACUCAGUGAUUGUUUGGGCACAAUAAACACAUGUAUUGUUAGUAGAACAUGACAGAACUACCUAUUUAUGAAAAUUAAGAAAAAUAUUUUGUGUGUACCUAACUGAAUCCAUUUUCUAUAUAGUGAAAAUUAAUGCAAUGAACUUAAUUUUGGAAUCUUGUUGGGGGGGUUCUAUCUUAAACACAUUCUUUGCCCCAAAUGAAAAUAGGUUUAUUUAAUUUUUUUGCUUAUAAGAAUAAUCCAUGCUGAGGGGCAGUAAAUUAAAUAAAACUGGAAAAAAUAUUUAGGAGCAAAUAAAAUCCCCAUUUCAGCUAUCUGCUUCCCUGCCUGCCAAUCCACCAUGCACCUAUUGUAUGAAGGUCUGGAGGAGAGAAGAAAUGAACAUCAGUGGCUGAGUGGAGAAGUAGAUUGAGGGGGUAGGUGCUUUGAGAUCAAAGAAGAGAAAGAAAAAAUUCCUCAGAGAUGUACCAAUGGCCAGUUGCCCUAGGAGAUGUAGCCCUUCCUUGAUAAGAUAGAACAAACACAUACCACAGAGAGAAGGGGCCACCUUUGACCUGUGGGAUUAGGAAAGACCAAAAAAAAAAAAAAAAAAAAGCCGUGAAAGAAGGGGACUUCAGCGCUGCGAGGCGGGAGCGGGCUAGUGAAGGGAAGAAGUGGGCUGGCUCCUGACGCACUUUCUGCUGGUGGGAGGGGAACCAGGGACCCGAGCCCACUGGUGACGUUUCUUUCACGUGAUCAGAAGCCGACGUGUGCAGAAGUCCCUCUCCUCCAGGUACCAGCUCCCCAUUUCCGUGGAGAAAGAUUUCAGACUGAGGGACAGAGCGGCAACUGCCCUAGAGCCCUGCAGGUCUUCAGGUCUGUGGUUGUAGGCACCAACCCAGACAAGAGAGGAAAAGACCUGCAGGACCAGUGCAGGACAGGC